AAAUUGAACUGUGGUCCAUUCACUUCCGUUUCGAUUCAGCUUAUACUUUGUUUUGUGUAGAAAAUAUUAUUCAAUGUUCAAACAACUCAUUGAACUGAACAUUCUCAUUCAAUGUUGUUUAUGGCAGAACCAUUAAGACUCUACUCUAUUCUGUAGAACGACGAGCCUGUUGCUGACGCUCUCAAUGCAGGAAGUUCCGGUACAUCGCAGGGUGCCAUGAGGAAAGGAAAAAUUACUUCUUUUCCAUCACUCCCCAGAAAGAAGAACGAAACUUCCCAAGUUGGAAUGAAACCUAGAACUCAACGUGCUGAGAAUAGACCGAAGCAAGUACUUCCUGGUUUACGUGGUCCUUCUACCAACCAGGGAUCUUCAGCACGCCCGGAACAACACUCAACAACAGAUUAAAGAAAUGACGGAUUAAAGAAAUUAGAGCAUCUCUGGGUCAAAUAUCGAGCUAAAAGGCUAAGUACUUAUCAUGUAGCUCUCGUAUACCUGUUCCUCAGAAACGCCGAUGUCAACGUUUAAUAUUUCCUCCGAUGUAUCACUGUAUCAUAUCCCUCCUAUUCGAUCGAUGAACUUUUACUUAGUCACGGCAAUACCCAUACACACUCUUUACAGAUACAUGGGCCGUAGAUUGUGCAAACCAAUGAUCAUUCAACAAGAGCAAUGAACAAUAUAUAUUUUGAAGAAAAAAAAUAUCCUUAUCCUUAUUCUUAUAUUCCCUGAACCAAAAUUCACAGUCCUAUUCCUACAUCGGCUACCAUUUGUGAAAUGACUCUCCUCGGCGAAAGCCCAAAUGGUGGAUACGUGACGAGUGACUAAGCCUUUUGGAUUGAGCCGUGAACGAGUCAACACGUUAAUCGACAUCUUCAUUUGACUAGUUUGUCGGGAUUCGCCUUCAUUGUAGUUCCGCGAGUUCUAGCGAGUGUAACUGUGGAACAGAGAAGAGGCAUCAUUUGAUCGAUACAAACAGACGAGCCAACCGGAAACCGCAAAGGAGUCAUUCAGUUCCCAUAAUACAAUACAAUUCCUUUCGACCGUGUCCUGAACCGACGGGAACAGUCGGUGGAAAAUCGUCCUGACAUCAUAGCUCUAUCAACAACGCGCGCUAGUAGUACUUCUGGUUAAUUUCACAAGUAUGUUGACAGCAUGCAUCGCCGUACAGGCAGUGUUUGGAUUUCGAUCAAAAUCGAAUGAUACACGAUGUGUCAUGCAAGUAACCUCUCACGAACAUAUAACCAAAUAUAUGAGGACCAUUCAGAUACUUGUAUGAAUGACAGUAAUCACUUGUGUUACACUAAGUGAUUAAACCAAGUGAGGAACGAAGACUGUUAUUUGCAUAUUCGAGCUGUAUCAAACAUCGCAAACCAUUUUCGAAGCCUGCAUACAAGUUU
This is a long non-coding RNA of Toxorhynchites rutilus septentrionalis, 1394 nucleotides long. RefSeq lists it as uncharacterized. The transcript has 4 exons. Lineage: Eukaryota; Metazoa; Arthropoda; Insecta; Diptera; Culicidae. The record is from RefSeq and is a predicted model, not a curated record.